CCUACGGGGGGCUGCAGUGGGGAAUAUUGCACAAUGGGGGAAACCCUGAUGCAGCCAUGCCGCGUGUGUGAAGAAGGCCUUCGGGUUGUAAAGCACUUUCAGCGAGGAGGAAGGGUUGGCGCCUAAUACGUGUCAACUGUGACGUUACUCGCAGAAGAAGCACCGGCUACCUCCGUGCCAGCAGCCGCGGUCAUACGGCGGGUGCAAGCGUUAAUCGGAAUUACUGGGCGUAAAGCGCACGCAGGCGGUUGAAUAAGUUAGAUGUGAGAGCCCCGGGCUGAACCUUGGAAUUGCAUUUAAAACUGUCCAGCUACAGUCUUGUAGAGGGGGGUAGAAUUCCAGGUGUAGCGGUGAAAUGCGUAUAGAUCUGGAGGAAUACCGGUGGCGAAGGCGGCCCCCUGGACAAAGACUGACGCUCAGGUGCGAAAGCGUGGGGAGCAAACAGGAUUAGAUACCCCAGUAGUC
This 465-nucleotide ribosomal RNA is filed under the name uncultured Aeromonas sp. RNAcentral's name for it is "bacterial SSU rRNA". It matches the Rfam family "Bacterial small subunit ribosomal RNA", at positions 338 to 795 of the family's 1533-position model. Lineage: Bacteria; Pseudomonadati; Pseudomonadota; Gammaproteobacteria; Aeromonadales; Aeromonadaceae. The record is from RNAcentral.